This 72-nucleotide transfer RNA is filed under the name Saccoglossus kowalevskii. RNAcentral describes it as "tRNA-Glu". It matches the Rfam family "tRNA". Rfam says of the family: Transfer RNA (tRNA) molecules are approximately 80 nucleotides in length. Their secondary structure includes four short double-helical elements and three loops (D, anti-codon, and T loops). Lineage: Eukaryota; Metazoa; Hemichordata; Enteropneusta; Harrimaniidae. The record is from RNAcentral.
UCCCAUAUGGUCUAGUGGUUAGGAUUUGGCGCUUUCACCGCCAAAGCUCGGGUUCAAUUCCCGGUGUGGGAA